Molecule: unclassified non-coding RNA, 167 nt
Filed under: soil metagenome
Description: partial internal transcribed spacer 1
Source: RNAcentral
GUGAAUUAAACAUGCUUGGUGUCUUCGCUUCGGCAAGGCCCUUGCUUAAAUCACAUCCUAACACCUGUGAACUGUAAGACGUAUGAUGAGGUCUUUGGCCAAGUCAUCGCCUGCCCAUUUUUAACAAACAAUUAAUGUAACAAACGUAGUCUUAUUAUAACCUAAUA